RNAcentral lists this ribosomal RNA (443 nucleotides) under uncultured bacterium. Its description in RNAcentral is "partial 16S ribosomal RNA". It matches the Rfam family "Bacterial small subunit ribosomal RNA", at positions 338 to 795 of the family's 1533-position model. The record is from RNAcentral.
GCUACGGGAGGCAGCAGUGGGGAAUAUUGGGCAAUGGGCGCAAGCCUGACCCAGCAACGCCGCGUGAAGGAAGAAGGCUCUCGGGUUGUAAACUUCUUUUAUUCGGGACGAAACAAAUGACGGUACCGAAUGAAUAAGCCACGGCUAACUACGUGCCAGCAGCAGCGGUAAUACGUAGGUGGCAAGCGUUAUCCGGAUUUACUGGGUGUAAAGGGCGUGUAGGCGGGAGAGCAAGUCAGACGUGAAAUUCCAGGGCUCAACCCUGGGACUGCGUUUUAAACUGUUCUUCUUGAGUGAUGGGGGGGCAGGCGGAAUUCCGGGUGUAGCGGUGAAAUGCGUAGAUAUACGGAGGAACACCAGUGGCGAAGGCGGCCUGCUGGACAGUAACUGACGCUGAGGCGCGAAAGCGUGGGGAGCAAACAGGAUUAGAUACCCCAGUAGUC